This is a long non-coding RNA of Mercurialis annua (annual mercury), 829 nucleotides long. RefSeq lists it as uncharacterized. The record is from RefSeq and is a predicted model, not a curated record. The transcript has 3 exons. Lineage: Eukaryota; Viridiplantae; Streptophyta; Magnoliopsida; Malpighiales; Euphorbiaceae.
UUUAGGAUUUUAACUUAUUUUCCUGUUUAAGAGUUCAAGCUCGAGCUCAGUAGAUUAAUUUAAAAUUGAGCUCGACUCGGCCAUCUAUAUUAAUAUAUAAAUAUGCAUCGAGUUCAGUGGAUUAUUUAUGUUUGUUUAAGUAAUAGAGGACAUACAGUAGCUGCUAUCGCUGAUUGUAUGCAUAAUCUCCUUUUUUUUUUAUGUUGCAGCAUUGUAUGCAUAAUAUCCAUUGCUUCUGCUAAUUUUCAUCUAGUAAAAUUCUUAUACUCUUACUCGGUGUUCACGUUUUCGAUCUGUCUUCUUCACAUCGAUUAAGUAAUCUUGCGCAUGAUAAGCUUUGGAUAUGAUUAUUGUUGGGCUUCAAGAUUCUCAGUUUGAUCAGAAGCCAUUGGGAUUUAGCAAUGCAGUCUGCAGAACUGUGAGUUGUAAUAAGGAGCUGGCUGGGAAUAAAAGGUUGUUUCAAAGUGUUAGCUCAAGUGAAUCCGAUGGAGAAGGAACCAAGUAAAAAAUCAGAUUCUAAAAGUGUUCAGUUUUGAAUGACAGACCCUCUAGGCAAGUUCUUGUUCUUUGCACAUUUAUGUUAUUAUGAUUUGUUUGCAUAUUAUGAAUAUAUUUGUUUGUGAUUUUGUAGGUUUUUAUGAAGACGCUCAAAUUGUUAAUGGGAUUUUGUAGGUUUUGGUGAUGUAUUUACGUCAUGAUGUAAUAGACUGAUUAUAUUUUGAACAUUUGUAUCAUGAUGUAAUAGAUGGAUUAUAUUUUGCAUAAUUUUGUGAUGUAUUGGUACAGAUAUCCUUUGGAAUCCACCUUACUAUUUGAACAAAAUAUUUUG